CCUACGGGUGGCAGCAGUGGGGAAUUGUUCACAAUGGGCGCAAGCCUGAUGACGCAACGCCGCGUGGAGGAUGAAGGUCUUCGGAUUGUAAACUCCUGUUGCCCGGGACGAAAUGCUUUGACCUAACACGUCAAAGUUUGACGGUACCGGGUGAGGAAGCCCCGGCUAACUCUGUGCCAGCAGCCGCGGUAAUACAGAGGGGGCAAGCGUUGUUCGGAAUUACUGGGCGUAAAGGGCGCGUAGGUGGCCUUCUAAGUCGAACGUGAAAUCCCUGGGCUCAACCCAGGAACUGCGUCCGAGACUGGGAGGCUUGAAUCCGGGAGAGGGAUGCGGAAUUCCAGGUGUAGCGGUGAAAUGCGUAGAUAUCUGGAGGAACACCGGUGGCGAAGGCGGCAUCCUGGACCGGGAUUGACACUGAGGCGCGAAAGCCAGGGGAGCAAACGGGAUUAGAUACCCUGGUAGUC
RNAcentral lists this unclassified non-coding RNA (464 nucleotides) under uncultured fungus. RNAcentral describes it as "partial internal transcribed spacer 1". It matches the Rfam family "Bacterial small subunit ribosomal RNA", at positions 338 to 795 of the family's 1533-position model. The record is from RNAcentral. Lineage: Eukaryota; Fungi.